UUAAUUAAUUUUAGUGCGUAGCUUAAGAAAUUAGCUACCUCGUGCUUAACUCCAGUAAUGCCCAUCUCUUGGCAUAACCUUAUAUAUGUUAACGUGAUACUCCAUUUUAAAUUUCGUGGCAAUCGGAGUUGUAGAACUCCGUUUAUAGCGAUUUCCGUCGGAAAAUCACAAAAAUUGUAAUGGUCAUAACUUGGUCGUUUUAACUCGGAAUUAGCUCAUUUUUGGACACGAGCUACAUAUUAUCAUAUAUUUUCAUUUCCCAAAAGCCUGGAAUUUUUCUCAUUAAAUAAAUGUCCGAAACAGCCCCCAGAAAAUUUUGGCCAGAAACUUUUUGCACUUUGGCAGUUUUGGAGUCCUUCACCAAAACUUAAAUAAAACGAAAUCUGUAACUCCGAUUAAUGAUCCGUCAAUUUUGUUGGAUUCGUAUCUUUCCGAACUAUAGUUUUCAUAUAUCACAAUCCAUAUUUGGACAUGUUUAGCUCCCGGAAUUUAACCCGGAAGUGACUGCUCCAAAACUGUCCUUCUAACAGUUUUUCUUAACUUUGUGUAGUUUGGUAGAAAUCCCAUAACUUGCUCCUCCGAUACCGGAUUUAGUCCGUUCCGGAGUCUAUGGAAAGCUUAUUGAGUGAACUAUAACAUAUCUCAAGUCCAGAAUUUUUAGAGCACCCUAACAAAUCAGAAAUUUUCUGUUUAGGGAAGCAGUCCACUAAUUCAUUUAAAACAAAAAAAACUGUUUUGGUUCAUCUUCUUUGUUCAAGCUUAUUAACCCUAAAAAUGGCAAGAUCUAACCAUAAAAUAUCAUAUAUCAUGUAGAUCUUCCCUCAUAUGGAUCAUAAGUUCAACACUUGGUGUAAAACAACCAUCACAAAACACAUAAACUAACUAG
Molecule: long non-coding RNA, 886 nt
Filed under: Panax ginseng (ginseng)
Lineage: Eukaryota; Viridiplantae; Streptophyta; Magnoliopsida; Apiales; Araliaceae
Description: long non-coding RNA (PGIN_LNC016306)
Source: RNAcentral